GUGUCAGCAGCCGCGGUAAGACGUACUGCGCGAACGUUAUUCGGAAUCACUGGGCUUAAAGGGUGCGCAGGCGGCUCGCCAAGCCCGAAGUGAAAUGCCCCGGCCCAACCGGGGACGUGCUUCGGGGACUGGCGGGCUCGGGCGAGCUAGGGGUCUGUGGAACUCCCGGUGGAGCGGUGAAAUGUGUUGAGAUCGGGAGGAACGCCGGUGGCGAAAGCGACAGACUGGGGCUUUGCCGACGCUCAUGCACGAAAGCCAGGGGAGCGAACGGGAUUAGAUACCCCGGUAGUCC
Molecule: ribosomal RNA, 292 nt
Filed under: uncultured bacterium
Lineage: Bacteria
Description: partial 16S ribosomal RNA
Rfam family: Bacterial small subunit ribosomal RNA
Source: RNAcentral